GACGAACGCUGGCGGCGUGCCUAAUACAUGCAAGUAGAACGCUGAAGAGAGGAGCUUGCUCUUCUUGGAUGAGUUGCGAACGGGUGAGUAACGCGUAGGUAACCUGCCUGGUAGCGGGGGAUAACUAUUGGAAACGAUAGCUAAUACCGCAUAAAAUUAAUUAUUGCAUGAUAAUUAAUUGAAAGAUGCAAUUGCAUCACUACCAGAUGGACCUGCGUUGUAUUAGCUAGUUGGUGAGGUAACGGCUCACCAAGGCGACGAUACAUAGCCGACCUGAGAGGGUGAUCGGCCACACUGGGACUGAGACACGGCCCAGACUCCUACGGGAGGCAGCAGUAGGGAAUCUUCGGCAAUGGGGGGAACCCUGACCGAGCAACGCCGCGUGAGUGAAGAAGGUUUUCGGAUCGUAAAGCUCUGUUGUAAGAGAAGAACGGGUGUGAGAGUGGAAAGUUCACACUGUGACGGUAUCUUACCAGAAAGGGACGGCUAACUACGUGCCAGCAGCCGCGGUAAUACGUAGGUCCCGAGCGUUGUCCGGAUUUAUUGGGCGUAAAGCGAGCGCAGGCGGUUAGAUAAGUCUGAAGUUAAAGGCUGUGGCUUAACCAUAGUAUGCUUUGGAAACUGUUUAACUUGAGUGCAGAAGGGGAGAGUGGAAUUCCAUGUGUAGCGGUGAAAUGCGUAUAUAUAUGGAUGAACACCGGUGGCGAAGCGGCUCUCUGGUCUGGAACUGACUCUGAGGCUCGAAGCGUGUGGAGCAAACAGGAUUAUAUACCCUGGUUGUCCAAGGGCUAAUUCCACCGUGGAUUGCAAUCGUAUGCGUUCCGUCGAACUCCGAGGGGGGUCCAAAAACCUAUCUUUUGUCUCUUUAGUGAGUUAUCUUAUGAUCUUGCUUGUGUCUUUCCCCUCCUUACUUUAUGCUAGUGAUGUGUGUGUAGUGUCUCUGUGUUUUGUGUGUUACUGUGUGUUGUGAGGUUGCCUGCUGCUUAUGUUUGCUGUAUUUCUGUUGCACUGUAUGGCUGUUAGUUCAUAGCAUAUGCUGAUGCCUGUAUGUUGAUGCUAGUGUGAUCUUAUUAUUGCUACUUGUGCUAGAUAG
RNAcentral lists this ribosomal RNA (1093 nucleotides) under Corynebacterium durum. RNAcentral's name for it is "bacterial SSU rRNA". The stretch from base 1 to 857 matches the Rfam family "Bacterial small subunit ribosomal RNA". The record is from RNAcentral. Lineage: Bacteria; Bacillati; Actinomycetota; Actinomycetes; Mycobacteriales; Corynebacteriaceae.